Non-coding RNA from Peromyscus maniculatus bairdii (prairie deer mouse), 1068 nucleotides. The record is from RefSeq and is a predicted model, not a curated record. Lineage: Eukaryota; Metazoa; Chordata; Mammalia; Rodentia; Cricetidae.
GCAGGGGAUUCGAUAAGUCAGACAGAGACAGAGAAGAUGAUUGGUCCCCACCGGAGGAGCCCUUCAGUGGAAGGCUGAUGAGUCCAACUACACAGUUCCCUCUGUGUGCUGUUCUGCAGCCGGCCUUGACAGCAUGGAGCUCAUCUGAGCCCCUGGCCCAGUGGAAUGUGGCAGCCACAGCUUAACUCGGCAGCCCCUGGAUGCUAAGGACCUACAACUUUAUGGUUGUGCCUGUGUUUUUCUUUGAACCAGCUGUCAGAAAUACCCUGGGAAAUCUGCGGGGUGGCACCAAGAGGCUGCUGAUGCAGAAGCCUAGAGAGUCCCACUGUUCAUCACCACAUGCUCCUUCUAGCCCGCUGGCCCCACUGCAGAGAAGAUACUUGCCGGAUGCCUCCAGGUGAACGAGAGGGCCCUGGAGGGCAGGCCAGCCUCUCUCCAGCCCCAAAGCAGGGAGCCAGGAGACCAAGUUCUCUGUGUUGAUAUACCAGAUGGCAAGAGCAUCUCUCACUUCAAGCAAGCUUUCACCCCAAUAAAAUAAAAGAAAUGAUGCCUACCCACAACAUGAAAGCAGGUGGACAAAUCCCGUUCCUUCUCCUCACCUGCCCCAGCUGCUGGGACCACCCUUCAAGGAGAGCCAGACUGAUCGCUGGGCACCCCAUUCAACACUGGCAAUUGGACUACCAACUGCCAGCCACAGAGGCGGAGACUCAUGACUACGGAAUAUGCCCUGACUGUGAGGAUCAGCAGUACUCUGAAGACGCCAAUGCCCCCAGACAACAGGAAGCAGUUUAAAGAGCACACCACCCCCAUCCCUGCCUCACCAGUCAUGCCUAAAUAUUUUAUGUUUAUGUUUACCCUCACCUUUUAUAACAAAUGAGAGGGAGGAAUAUUGGAAGACUCCACCCCUAAGCCCACCUUCAAGAACUUAUCAACAGAGGCCACGUCAUCAUCAGCUGCCAAAAUAUGACACAUUUCCACUGUCACCAUGGUUCCCAUGUGCAUGUGCGCUCUACUGCCUUAUAAAAAGCCAGUGCCUUCUCUUCCCACUCUUUCCCCUCCCACCCCCAC